This 323-nucleotide ribosomal RNA is filed under the name uncultured bacterium. RNAcentral describes it as "bacterial SSU rRNA". It matches the Rfam family "Bacterial small subunit ribosomal RNA", at positions 18 to 344 of the family's 1533-position model. The record is from RNAcentral.
CAUGGCUCAGGAUGAACGCUAGCGGCAGGCCUAACACAUGCAAGUCGAGGGGGAAGCCCUUCCGGGGGCAGAAACCGGCGACCGGGUGCGUAGCGCGUAUGCAACCUACCUUUCACAGGGGGUUAGCCCGAAGAAAUUUGGAUUAAUACCCCAUAAUAUUGUUGGAUGGCAUCAUUUGGCAAUUAAAACUGAGGUGGUGAAAGAUGGGCAUGCGUCCUAUUAGCUAGUUGGAGUGGUAACGGCACCCCAAGGCUACGAUAGGUAGGGGUCCUGAGAGGGAGAUCCCCCACACUGGUACUGAGACAGGGACCAGACUCCUACGG